Molecule: ribosomal RNA, 449 nt
Filed under: uncultured bacterium
Lineage: Bacteria
Description: bacterial SSU rRNA
Rfam family: Bacterial small subunit ribosomal RNA
Source: RNAcentral
UCGAGAAUCAUUCGCAAUGGGCGAAAGCCUGACGAUGCGACGCCGUGUGUGUGAUGAAGGCCUUCGGGUCGUAAAGCACUUUCGCUUGGGAACAAGAGAGGCAGGAUAAUACCCUGCUAAUUUGAGGGUACCAGGUAAAGAAGCACCGGCUAACUACGUGCCAGCAGCUGCGGUAAUACGUAGGGUGCAAGCGUUAAUCGGAAUUAUUGGGCGUAUAGGGCGUGUAGGCGGGCAAACAAGUCGGACGUGAAAUCCCAGAGCUCAACUCUGGAACAGCAUCCGAAACUGUUUAUCUAGAGGGUAGGCGGAGAAAACGGAAUUCCACAAGUAGCGGUGAAAUGCGUAGAUAUGUGGAAGAACACCCGUGGCGAAGGCGGUUUUCUAGCUUAUUCCUGACGCUGAGGCGCGAAAGCAAGGGGAUCAAACAGGAUUAGAUACCCCUGUAGUCC